GUGAGCAGUACGAGCUGAAAGGCUCCCAUACUGUUUGGAGGGCAGGGGGCAUAGAUGCCAAACAAACCUGACCCCUAU
Molecule: non-coding RNA, 78 nt
Organism: Vitis vinifera (wine grape)
Lineage: Eukaryota; Viridiplantae; Streptophyta; Magnoliopsida; Vitales; Vitaceae
Source: Rfam